CCUACGGGGGGCUGCAGUGGGGAAUAUUGCACAAUGGGCGCAAGCCUGAUGCAGCCAUGCCGCGUGUGUGAAGAAGGCCUUCGGGUUGUAAAGCACUUUCAGCAGGGAGGAAGGCGGUGAGGUUAAUAACCUCAUCGAUUGACGUUACCCGCAGAAGAAGCACCGGCUAACUCCGUGCCAGCAGCCGCGGUAAUACGGAGGGUGCAAGCGUUAAUCGGAAUUACUGGGCGUAAAGCGCACGCAGGCGGUCUGUCAAGUCGGAUGUGAAAUCCCCGGGCUCAACCUGGGAACUGCAUUCGAAACUGGCAGGCUAGAGUCUUGUAGAGGGGGGUAGAAUUCCAGGUGUAGCGGUGAAAUGCGUAGAGAUCUGGAGGAAUACCGGUGGCGAAGGCGGCCCCCUGGACAAAGACUGACGCUCAGGUGCGAAAGCGUGGGGAGCAAACAGGAUUAGAUACCCUAGUAGUC
RNAcentral lists this ribosomal RNA (465 nucleotides) under uncultured Klebsiella sp. RNAcentral describes it as "bacterial SSU rRNA". It matches the Rfam family "Bacterial small subunit ribosomal RNA", at positions 338 to 795 of the family's 1533-position model. Lineage: Bacteria; Pseudomonadati; Pseudomonadota; Gammaproteobacteria; Enterobacterales; Enterobacteriaceae. The record is from RNAcentral.